RNAcentral lists this ribosomal RNA (497 nucleotides) under uncultured bacterium. RNAcentral describes it as "partial 16S ribosomal RNA". It matches the Rfam family "Bacterial small subunit ribosomal RNA", at positions 28 to 507 of the family's 1533-position model. The record is from RNAcentral.
GAUGAACGCUGGCGGCGUGCCUAAUACAUGCAAGUCGAGCGAACAGACGAGGAGCUUGCUCCUCUGACGUUAGCGGCGGACGGGUGAGUAACACGUGGAUAACCUACCUAUAAGACUGGGAUAACUUCGGGAAACCGGAGCUAAUACCGGAUAAUAUAUUGAACCGCAUGGUUCAAUAGUGAAAGUCGGUUUUGCUGUCACUUAUAGAUGGAUCCGCGCCGCAUUAGCUAGUUGGUAAGGUAACGGCUUACCAAGGCGACGAUGCGUAGCCGACCUGAGAGGGUGAUCGGCCACACUGGAACUGAGACACGGUCCAGACUCCUACGGGAGGCAGCAGUAGGGAAUCUUCCGCAAUGGGCGAAAGCCUGACGGAGCAACGCCGCGUGAGUGAUGAAGGUCUUCGGAUCGUAAAACUCUGUUAUUAGGGAAGAACAAAUGUGUAAGUAACUAUGCACGUCUUGACGGUACCUAAUCAGAAAGCCACGGCUAACUACGUG